RNAcentral lists this ribosomal RNA (263 nucleotides) under uncultured bacterium. RNAcentral's name for it is "partial 16S ribosomal RNA". It matches the Rfam family "Bacterial small subunit ribosomal RNA", at positions 793 to 1055 of the family's 1533-position model. The record is from RNAcentral.
GUCCACGCCGUAAACGGUGGGCACUAGGUGUGGGGGACAUUCCACGUUCUCCGUGCCGAAGCUAACGCAUUAAGUGCCCCGCCUGGGGAGUACGGCCGCAAGGCUAAAACUCAAAGGAAUUGACGGGGGCCCCGCACAAGCGGCGGAGCAUGCGGAUUAAUUCGAUGCAACGCGAAGAACCUUACCUGGGUUUGACAUACACCGGAAAGCUACAGAGAUGUAGCCCCCGCAAGGUCGGUGUACAGGUGGUGCAUGGCUGUCGU